This 1444-nucleotide long non-coding RNA is filed under the name Triticum aestivum (bread wheat). RNAcentral describes it as "long non-coding RNA (TAES_LNC002608)". Lineage: Eukaryota; Viridiplantae; Streptophyta; Magnoliopsida; Poales; Poaceae. The record is from RNAcentral.
CGUCCGCCCGUCGCCGCAAACACCGCUCCCGUCUCCACCUCCCAAAAUCCCGCCGGCGGCAUGUCGUUCCACCGCGGCAGCAGCUCCGGCACCGGCGGCGACGACGGACCCAGUGCGUGGCCGUCGAGCCUGAGCACGCCAGAGACGGAGGAGCUGCACCGGUUCGGGCUCCUCGUGCCGCCGGGUUGCCGUCUUCCGCACGACUGGAAGCUCGACAAGGACGGCUACCCGAGGCGCGGGCCCGGUGCCACCGCGGAGGAGAAGCGGACCGGCGGCCGCAACAACAUCGCCGGCCGUCACGCGUUCUGGGACGGCAAAGACUACGCCGCCGUCAUCGGCGCGUACAGGCUGGCGGAGUCCGGCGUCACGCCUGACCUCGUCGGCGACCGUCGCCGCCUUCUUGUCCCGCGCCCCCAUCCAGCAGCGCGCGGCCGUCGGGCUCCUCCACCACCUGCGCCGGCGCCCGCCGAUCCCCCCGCCCCGCCGGAGGUGGAACUGCCACCGGAGCAGUUGGUUCUUCGGGAGGACGGCGAUCCCGACGAUACGCCGGGUUACCUCGUCGCCCUGCGCGCGUCGGCGGCUGCAGCGGCGGCUGCAGAGGCAGCGGCGGCUGCAAGGGAGGCCGCCGAGCAGGCGGCAGCGAUCCAGGCGGCGGCGGCGGCGAUUCCGCCAGUGGUCCCGCAGGCGGAGGCGGAGGCGCCGAAGUCGUCGGACGACGACGUCAUCGACUGGGAGCGGUUGGCCCAGGUCAGCGACGACGACGACGAGGGCGGGGGUGACGGCGGUCACGUCGGGGAGGUCAUCGAUCUGUUAGCGACGAGGAGGACUAGUUUUUUUUUAAUGUUCUAAGUAUGAACUAUGUAUCGUUUAUGUUUGGAAAAACUCGUCUGGUUUCGGUAAUGUUGAAUUGACUAUGUAAAAUAUAUCUAUGUUCAAUCUAGUUUGUUGGAGUCUUGUUUAAAUUUGUAUUCAAAAAUUGUUAAAAAAAUUAGCUAAAUAUAGAACGCUUAUUUUGAGAAAAAUUGAAAAUUUUCCGACCCAUGCAUAAAAAUGUUCAUAAUAUAUUUAAAAAAUUUGCAUCGAAUAUACAUAGCACAGAAUAAGGUAUACAAUUAUCAAAAAUUUGUAGAAUAAAAAAAAUCAUGAAAACACAUAAAAUAAAAAAUAAAAAGUGUAUGUAAAUGUUUAUAAAGUGUUUUAGAAAUGUUCAGAUUUUGUUUAAAUAUGUCCAUAUAGUAUAGCCGGUGGAUGAAAAAAUUGAAAUUUUGAAAUACAAAAUAUAACAUAUAAAGAAGAAAAAAAAUUAAAAAGGUGAUAUAUUUUAAUUCAUUAACAUUACCUGAAAUAUUAUUAAAUUCAUUAACAUUUAUGAAUCAGAGAAUAUUUUUAAAUUCAUUAACAUAUAUGAAUGAAUACAAGAAUUUUUAAAUUCAUUUACAUUUUC